Molecule: ribosomal RNA, 94 nt
Filed under: Halalkalibacter suaedae
Lineage: Bacteria; Bacillati; Bacillota; Bacilli; Caryophanales; Bacillaceae
Source: RNAcentral
UCACACCCGUUCCCAUGCCGAACACGGUCGUUAAGCUCUUCAGCGCCGAUGGUAGUUGGGGGCUUCCCCCUGUGAGAGUAGGACGUUGCCGGGC